CAGGGAGACAACAAAAUGUUAAAUAUUAAUUUUGUCACCUUAGGUCGAUCGGUAUCUCACAUUCUUAAUCUAAUUAAGGAUUUUAUUUCCUAAGUUUUUCUAGGUCACACCCAUCACUUUUCCUGGGCCAUUAGCUCAGGUGGUUAGAGCGCACCCCUGAUAAGGGUGAGGUCCCUGGUUCAAGUCCAGGAUGGCCCAUAUCUCUAUGUUGGGGGUAUAGCUCAGUUGGUAGAGCGCCUGCUUUGCAAGCAGGAUGUCAGCGGUUCGAGUCCGCUUACCUCCACUGAUUACCACCUCUUCCAUAUAUAAAAGGAAAAUUUGAGUUGUGAUCUUAUUCUGAACGAAUCUAGCUUCCUAAUUAAAAUUAUUAAGAUGCUGGACUCAUUGAAUUUAUUUCAUUGUUUUCAGAGAACCUUGACAACUGCAUAGAUUAUUUUUAAAGACAAUAAGCAUCUUUAAUGAUGCAGAUUUAUUAUUUGUGCAAAUGCAUUAAUAACAAUUCUAUUAAGCUGAUGCUUCAA
RNAcentral lists this transfer RNA (521 nucleotides) under uncultured Prochlorococcus sp. RNAcentral's name for it is "partial 16S-23S ribosomal RNA intergenic spacer". The stretch from base 211 to 283 matches the Rfam family "tRNA". The record is from RNAcentral. Lineage: Bacteria; Bacillati; Cyanobacteriota; Cyanophyceae; Synechococcales; Prochlorococcaceae.